ACUAAAGCUAGCCCAAUCGACCACAAAUUCAACUAUUACAUGAACAUAAAACAAAACAUUUACUUAGUAAAAGUAUAGGAGAUAGAAAUUACAAUUGGCGCUAUAGAGAAAGUACCGCAAGGGAACGAGUGAAAGAAUAUAUUAAAAGUAAAAAAAAGCAAAGUUUAACCCUUCUACCUUUUGCAUAAUGAGCUAGCUAGCAGACCUUAGCAAAGAGAACUUAAGUUAAGCCCCCCGAAACCAGACGAGCUACCUACGAGCAGCAUAACAGAGCGAACUCGUCUAUGUGGCAAAAUAGUGAGAAGACUUAUAGGUAGUGGUGAAAAGCCUAACGAGCCUGGUGAUAGCUGGUUGUCCAGAAAAGAAUUUUAGUUCAGCUUUAAUUUAUACAGACAAGCCCUCAAAACUCUAAUGUAAAAUUAAACGUUAGUCUAAAGAGGUACAGCCCUUUAGACGCAGGAUACAACCUUAACUGGAGAGUAAGUUCAUAAUCUAACCAUAGUUGGCCUAAAAGCAGCCAUCAAUUAAGAAAGCGUUCAAGCUCAACCAUACAUUACAACAUUAAUACCUAAAACUAACCCAACUCCCAGACUUUAACUGGACUAAUCUAUUAACAAAUAGAAGAAAUAAUGCUAGUAUGAGUAACAAGAAAUAGUUCUCCCGGCACAGGUUUAUAUCAGAUCGGAUGCCCACUGAUAGUUAACAAAAUAAUAAUAAUAAUUAAAAAAUAGAACAAUUAUUAAGUAAACUGUUAACCCAACACAGGAGUGCCAAACAGGGAAAGAUUAAAAGAAGUAAAAGGAACUCGGCAAACACAAGCCCCGCCUGUUUACCAAAAACAUCACCUCUAGCAUGAAAAGUAUUGGAGGCACUGCCUGCCCAGUGACGCAAGUUAAACGGCCGCGGUAUCCUGACCGUGCAAAGGUAGCAUAAUCAUUUGUUCUCUAAUUAAGGACUUGUAUGAAUGGCCACACGAGGGUUUAACUGUCUCUUACUUCUAAUCAGUGAAAUUGACCUUCCCGUGAAGAGGCGGGAAUAAUACAAUAAGACGAGAAGACCCUAUGGAGCUUCAAUUAACCAGUUCAAUAAGGUGUAAUACUAAACCCAACCAGGGGAUAAAAAACCUAAAACUGAACCGGCAAUUUAGGUUGGGGUGACCUCGGAGUAAAAAACAACCUCCGAGAGAUUUCAGUCGAGACCUACAAGUCAAAACCUGAAAAAAAUUUAAUUGAUCCAACAACCAUGUUGAUCAACGGAACAAGUUACCCUAGGGAUAACAGCGCAAUCCUAUUUAAGAGUCCAUAUCGACAAUAGGGUUUACGACCUCGAUGUUGGAUCAGGACAUCCCAAUGGUGCAGAAGCUAUUAAUGGUUCGUUUGUUCAACGAUUAAAGUCCUACGUGAUCUGAGUUCAGACCGGAGCAAUCCAGGUCGGUUUCUAUCUAUUAUAUAUUUCUCCCAGUACGAAAGGACAAGAGAAAUAAGGCCAACUCUACAGGAGAGCCUUAAAAUUAAUAGAUGAUAUCAUCUCAAUCUAGUAAUUUAUAACCACGCAAGCCCAAGAAAAGGGCUU
RNAcentral lists this ribosomal RNA (1572 nucleotides) under Scalopus aquaticus (eastern mole). RNAcentral describes it as "16S ribosomal RNA". It matches the Rfam family "Bacterial large subunit ribosomal RNA", at positions 379 to 2853 of the family's 2925-position model. The record is from RNAcentral. Lineage: Eukaryota; Metazoa; Chordata; Mammalia; Eulipotyphla; Talpidae.